This 29-nucleotide non-coding RNA is filed under the name Mus musculus (house mouse). Lineage: Eukaryota; Metazoa; Chordata; Mammalia; Rodentia; Muridae. The record is from RNAcentral.
UGGGUGGAGCAUGUAGGGAGCCUAAGGGU